AGAAUGAACGUUGGCGGCGUGGAUUAGGCAUGCAAGUCGAACGAAUCCCUUCUGGGUAACUGGGAGGGGGAAGUGGCGAAAGGGGCAGUAAGGCAUGGGUAACUUGCCCUGGAGUUCGGGAUAGCCUUCCUAACGGAUGGGUAAUACCGAAUGCCGUACUUUGGGGGCAUCCUCGAAGUACGAAAGUUCCGACGCUCCGGGAGAGGUCCAUGUGGUAUUAGCUAGUUGGUGGGGUAACGGCCCACCAAGGCCAAGAUGCCUAGCAGGUGUGAGAGCACGACCUGCGUCACUGGCACUGGGACACUGGCCAGACUCCUACGGGAGGCUGCAGUCGAGGAUCUUCGGCAAUGGGCGAAAGCCUGACCGAGCGACGCCGCGUGUGCGAUGAAGGCCUUCGGGUUGUAAAGCACUGUCGAGGGAAAGAAAGCCGAAAGGUUUGAUCGAUCUCUGGAGGAAGCUCGGGCUAAGUUCGCGCCAGCAGCCGCGGUAA
RNAcentral lists this ribosomal RNA (490 nucleotides) under uncultured bacterium. RNAcentral describes it as "SSU rRNA". It matches the Rfam family "Bacterial small subunit ribosomal RNA", at positions 26 to 523 of the family's 1533-position model. The record is from RNAcentral.